RNAcentral lists this ribosomal RNA (253 nucleotides) under uncultured bacterium. RNAcentral describes it as "partial 16S ribosomal RNA". It matches the Rfam family "Bacterial small subunit ribosomal RNA", at positions 524 to 776 of the family's 1533-position model. The record is from RNAcentral.
UACAGAGGGUGCAAGCGUUAAUCGGAAUUAUUGGGCGUAAAGGGCUUGUAGGUGGUUGUUUAAGUUAGAUGUGAAAACCCUGGGCUUAACCUGGGACGUGCAUUUAAUACUGGACAGCUAGAGUAUGGUAGAGGAGAGGGGAAUUCCUGGUGUAGCAGUGAAAUGCGUAGAGAUCAGGAGGAACAUCAGUGGCGAAGGCGCCUCUCUGGACUAAUACUGACACUGAAAAGCGAAGGCGUGGGGAUCAAACAGG